AUGGCGACCGGCGCACGGGUGAGUAACGCGUAUGCAACCUGCCCGAUACCGGGGUAUAGCCCAUGGAAACGUGGAUUAACACCCCAUAGUACUUUUAUCCUGCCUGGGAUGGGAGUUAAAUGUUCAAGGUAUCGGAUGGGCAUGCGUCCUAUUAGUUAGUUGGCGGGGUAACAGCCCACCAAGACGAUGAUAGGUAGGGGUUCUGAGAGGAAGGUCCCCCACAUUGGAACUGAGACACGAUCCAA
This 245-nucleotide ribosomal RNA is filed under the name uncultured bacterium. RNAcentral's name for it is "partial 16S ribosomal RNA". It matches the Rfam family "Bacterial small subunit ribosomal RNA", at positions 88 to 334 of the family's 1533-position model. The record is from RNAcentral.